CAGGCCUUAAUUCUCCUCUGUUCUUCAAUAAGACACUGCUAUAGUCAUUGUGUAGAGGCCAGUCCCAUGUUCCUAUGCCUCUGGCCACCAACCAACAACAUUGUGUCCUAUCCUGAGGCUACAUUCUGUCAAGACCAGUACAGCACUGAGUAAUCUGGGCAUGGCUCAGGUGGAUCUUGGCUCUCAAAUCUCUCACAGGCUUCAAUCAAGGUGUCAGCUAGGACUGCAAGCAUCUUGACCCGUGGCUGGAAGGAAUUCUAAACUCAUUCACCUGGUUGUUGGAAGGAUUCAGCUCAUGCGCUAGUGCAAUACGGGCAUUAAAUCCUUACUGGCUGUUGGUCAGAGACUGCAUUUGAUCCUUGUCAGGUGGUUUCCUUACCACUUAGAUCAUAACUCUGCAAAAGAGAAUUUGAAAAGAGGGAUUGAACUCAGGACCUCGGGAGGCAGGUGUGAUGGCACUAAGCGAAAUCCCCAGCCUGCUUACCAUUUUCUUGAUUGGAAAAGAAUACCAAAAUAAAUCAUUCUCUAUAACAAUUGAAAAUUUUAAUAUGGAGCAUUUCAUAAAUGAUACAAGAAAUUGAAAAUACAAGUUAAUAA
Molecule: long non-coding RNA, 597 nt
Organism: Heterocephalus glaber (naked mole-rat)
Lineage: Eukaryota; Metazoa; Chordata; Mammalia; Rodentia; Bathyergidae
Source: Ensembl